This is a non-coding RNA of Styela clava, 178 nucleotides long. NCBI's taxonomy places the organism in Eukaryota, Metazoa, Chordata, Ascidiacea, Stolidobranchia, Styelidae. The record is from RefSeq and is a predicted model, not a curated record.
AUCACCUGCAAGGCAGGGACCAGAUGGAGUGAAAAGUAGAGGCUCGGAUAUUCCCGGCACAUCAGGCAGUGAUCAGAGUGGACGUUUGGUUGAACAGAGAGCUGAGAGUAAAGAAUCCGGAGUUGAUCAAGGCUCGGAUAUUCCCGGCACAUCAGGCAGUGGUCAGAGUGGAUGUUCA